UCUGGGUCAGGAGUUCCGGCAUAGCUUAACCGGAUCCUCUGCUUAGGGUAACAAAAGGCUGCAAUCAAGGUGUUUCCCAGGACUCGGUUCUCAGCAGAGGCUCCACUGGGGAAGGAUCUGUUUCUGAGCUCUUGCAGGUUGUUGGCAGAAUUCAUUUCUUCAUGGCUGUAGGACUCAUGGCAACUUGUUUUUCAAAGACAGCAAUGGAGAGAGACUCUAGCAAGCUUGGCACUCCAUGGACAUUCCAUCCCUCUUGCCACAUUCCAUUGGUUAGAAGCAAGUCCCAGGUCCUGCUCACACUCAAGGACAGGGGGUUAAACAAAAGUAUGAAUACCAGGAGGCAGCUGUUUUGAUCACUUUGGGAAACCUGCGGUGUGCCACAGCUGAUUGGAUGAGAAUUCAUUUGGAGUGGGGGAAAGAGUAUGAAAUAAUAGGCCUCGGAGCCACCGAGAGGAGGAUGAGUCCCUGGAGCUGGUUCCUGCUGCCGACCCUCCGCCUCCUGCCCGCGAGCGCAGCCCCUCCGCGCGGCGCGCCCGCCUCCGCCAACUGCAAGCUCAAGCCCCAACAAAGUGAGUUGAAUUCCUUCUUGUGGACCAUAAAACGAGACCCGCCGUCUUACUUCUUUGGCACGACCCAUGUCCCGUACACCCGGGUUUGGGACUUCAUCCCGGACAAUUCCAAGGAGGCUUUUCAGCAAAGCAGCAUUGUGUACUUUGAGCUGGACCUCACGGACCCUUCCACUAUCUCGGCCCUCACCAGCUGUCAGAUGCUUCCACGAGGUGAGAACCUCCAGGACGUGCUCCCCAGGGACAUUUACUGCCGCCUUAAGUGCCACCUUGAGUACGUCAAGCUCAUGAUGCCCUCGUGGAUGACGCCUGACCAGCAUGGUAAGGGUCUCUACGCAGACUACCUGUUCAAUGCCAUCGCGGGCAACUGGGAGCGGAAGAGGCCCAUCUGGGUGAUGCUCAUGGUCAACUCCCCGACCAAAGUGGACAUCAAGUCCCGUGGGGCGCCCGUCUUAGACCUGUACCUUGCCCAGGAGGCCGAACGGCUGAGGAAACAGACGGGGGCAGUGGAGAAGGUGGAAGAGCAGUGCCAUCCAUUGAAUGGGUUGAACUUCUCACAGGUCAUCUUUGCCUUAAACCAGACCCUCCUGCAGCAGGAGAGCCUGCGAGCGGGCAGCCUUCAGAUCCCCUACACAACAGAGGACCUCAUCAAACACUAUAACUGCGGGGACCUCAGCUCCAUCAUCUUCAGCCAUGACAGCUCCCAGGUUCCCAAUUUUAUUAAUGCCACGCUACCACUUCAGGAGCGCGUCACUGCUCAGGAGAUCGACAGCUACUUCCGCCGGGAGCUUAUCUACAAGCAGAACGAGAGAAUGGGGAAGUGGGUGAAGGCCCUUUUGGAGGAGUUCCCUGACAAAGGCUUUUUCUUUGCCUUUGGAGCCGGGCAUUUCAUGGGCAACAACACAGUUCUUGAUGUUCUGCGGCGCGAAGGCUAUGAGGUAGAACACGCCCCCGCUGGACGACCCAUCAACGAAGAAGAGACCGGAAACCCGUUGUCACAGCCCGCCUCCUCUGCCGUCUUGGCUCCGGAAGCGCCCGCCCCGGAAGCUCAGGUACCGGAAGCUGGGUCUGCCGGGGCCCCACUGUUGCGGCUCCACGUGUCUCUAAACAGAAGUGCUGACCUGCCGGGCGAGGCACGACAAAAGUUCCAGAAGAAGCAGAGGCGGCCGCAGCGGAGGCAGCGGCUCCGGCAGUUCAGCGACCUGUGGGUCCGACUGGAGGAGAGGUGAGGUGGCUGGGCCGGGCUGGGCCAGCCGUGAGCCCAUCGCCUGGUCAGCGAUCAGGGAGAAGCUCAUAGCUUUCCAGAGCUGGAAGCACCUCUGUAGGAAUGGGCUUGUUCAGCCCCUACGUUUUGCAGGGAGCAUGGCGACCACAGAAUGUGCACUCGCAGAGAUGCCCAGUGGGUGGAUCAGAGGUGGGUAGAGGAGCCAAAGAUGGGGACCCAGCCUGGUUUCUGCUGGAAGAACUACACCAGAGAGGCCUGGGAUCCAGGAUACAGUUCAAUUUAUACCAAACUUUUUGAGUUCUUCCUAUGUGCCCGCUGUUGUGUUGGUGCUGUGGCUUUGGGGGUGAACCAGACCGACAUUGGCCCUGCCUUCAUGGAGCUCACAGUCUGGGGAGGAAGCUGGAUUUUGAGUUGAUUAUUCACAAGGGGAGUGUAGGGGGCUGCGGGGAUGUGCGUGUGUGUGUUUGUGUGUUGGACAUUACUACCUAACUUAGGGUGGUGGGUGUCAGGAAGGGCCUCCUGGAGGAAGCGACCUUUUGGUUGCUGCUGAGUAGAAGCCUGAACAGAGCUUCUGAGUCUGGAUCAGGAGAUGCAGGCAUCUGAUACCUGCAUAGGUGCUUAAUAAUAAAUGUUGAUUGAAUGUGUAAACAACUGAACAGCGAGGGGAGGGAGUUCCCCGCAAGGGGAACAGUGAAAAAGCCUGAUGUGGAGAGAGUGAUCCUGUUAAAGGAACCAAGAUGAAGUAAUUCUGGCUGGAGCCUGGGAGAUCAGUGGGAAGAGGGGUGAGGUAGGUCUAGAAGGUAAAUUGGAUGGAAUGACUGUGAGAAUCUGAUGCCUGAGAGAAGUAGGGUGCCACUGAAAGGUUUGAGGCGGGCAUUCCUUGUGCUGUGGGGUUUGCAUUUUUAAAUGGACAGAAGCUGGCAGCCAGAUGUGACCUGGAGAGCAGGGACAGAUCCUGUUGGUGUCCAUGUGCCCCAUGGUGCCUGACACGGGGAGGCUCCUCAACCAUCCUUCAUUGAUGGAGGAAUACACUGACCUGUUUAGUACCUUCUCAGUCUGGGCCAUUUCCUUUCAAGGUGGCCAUGCAGGGAUUGGGCACUUUACAUCAGAGCUGAGCUGAAAGGACCAGCAGUAGUAACGAGGGCCAAGACAUAGGAAAUCUAUUAACAUACUAAGAUCCAUUCCUGUCUUUGGAAGAGAGAGGUGAAAAGAAGCUGUGCAGACCUUUGGGGGCCUCGGAGUAUCCAGUGGCUCUUGCUGUGCCCUGAGACUGUGUCCUUCUCUUUGCCUCCAAGUGCUGGGAUCCCACAGCUCCAGGUCCCCUUUCUGGCCAGGCGCAUUUCCGCCGAGCUGCGCCUCCCUCGCCCUGGGCAGUCUCCCCACA
Balaenoptera ricei (Rice's whale) is the source of this 3175-nucleotide RNA transcript. It is a transcript of the gene named TraB domain containing 2A, with no coding region annotated. The transcript is spliced from 10 exons. The record is from RefSeq and is a predicted model, not a curated record. Lineage: Eukaryota; Metazoa; Chordata; Mammalia; Artiodactyla; Balaenopteridae.